This 408-nucleotide ribosomal RNA is filed under the name uncultured bacterium. RNAcentral describes it as "partial 16S ribosomal RNA". It matches the Rfam family "Bacterial small subunit ribosomal RNA", at positions 29 to 526 of the family's 1533-position model. The record is from RNAcentral.
AGUGAACGCUGGCGGCGUGCCUAAUACAUGCAAGUCGAACGGCGUGGCGCAGGGGGGAGUAAUAUAUAGCUAAUCUGCCCCUUGCUGGAGGACAAAAGUUUGAAAUGACUGCUAAUACUCCAUAGCAAGUGAUGAGACUAUAUCGUAGCAUCUAGUCGGGGUGGUAACGGCCUACCGAGGCUCUGACGCGUAACUGGUCUGAGAGGAUGAUCAGGAAACUUGGAAGUGAGGCAGCAGUGAGACACUUACGGGAAGCGGCGAAAGGGAGAAUUGGGCAAUGGGCGAGACCCAGAAGCGGCAACGGCGCGUAGAGGAUGAUACUUUGCGAAGAGUAAACUCCUUUUGUUAGGGAAGCGGUACCUAACGAAUAAGCACCGGCUAACUCCGUGCCAGCAGCCGCGGUAAUAC